Molecule: ribosomal RNA, 1087 nt
Filed under: human gut metagenome
Description: bacterial LSU rRNA
Rfam family: Bacterial large subunit ribosomal RNA
Source: RNAcentral
CUGAUCAGGAGAGGGACCUACCCGGUUACCAAACCCAGUCAAACUCCGAAUGGCUGCAAUCAUACCUGGGAGUCAGACUGCGACUAAUAAGGGCCGCAGUCAAAAGGGAAACAGCCCAGACCAUCAGCUAAGGUCCCCAAUGCCGUGCUAAGUGGCGAAGGAUGUGGCAUUUCAUAAACAACCAGGAUGUUGGCUCAGAAGCAGCCACCAUUUAAAGAGUGCGUAAUAGCUCACUGGUCGAGAGACCCUGCGCCGAAGAUUCCCGGGGCUAAAGUACGAAACCGAAGCUGUGGCUGUAUACGUAAAGUAUACGGGGUAGGGGAGCGUUCCCAUAGGGUAGAAGUCGAACUGGAAGGUUCGGUGGACUUGUGGGAAGUGAGAAUGUUGGUAUGAGUAGCGAAAAGAAAGGUGAGAAUCCUUUCCACCGAAAGCAUAAGGAUUCCUGAGCAACGAUCGUCGUCUCAGGGUAAGUCGGGACCUAAUCCGAGGCAGAGAGCGUAGGAGAUGGACAACUGGUUGAUAUUCCAGUACCGGUAGUAAUUGUUUGAGCAAUGGAGUGACACAGAAGGGCAGGCAAGCAUGCGAAUGGAAGAGCAUGUGUAAGCGUGUAGGGUGGUGCAUAGGCAAAUCCGUGCACUGAAAGCCUGAGGCGUGAUGCGGAGUGAGCAGAGAUGCGAGCGAAGUUGUUGACCCCACACUGUCGAGAAAAGCUUCUAGUGAGAGAGCUACCGCCCGUACCGUAAACCGACACAGGUAUGCGGGGAGAGAAUCCUAAGGUGCGCGGGAGAACCCUCGUUAAGGAACUCGGCAAAAUGUACCCGUAACUUCGGGAUAAGGGUAGCCACUGUUGUGAAGUCCCAUGCGGAUGGAGCAUAGAGUGGUCGCAGAGAAGAGGCCCAAGCGACUGUUUACCAUAAACACAGGUGCCUGCUAAAGCGAAAGCUGACGUAUAGGUGCUGACACCUGCCCAGUGCCGGAAGGUUAAGGAAGGAUGUUCGGAUUAGUCCAAAGCAUUCGACUGAAGCCCCGGUGAACGGCGGCCGUAACUAUAACGGUCCUAAGGUAGCGAAAUUCCUUGUCGGGUAAG